CACGUAGGCGGACUCUUAAGUCGGUGGUGAAAUCCUGGAGCUCAACUCCAGAACUGCCUCCGAUACUGGGAGUCUUGGAGUCCGGGAGAGGUGAGUGGAACUGCGAGUGUAGAGGUGAAAUUCGUAGAUAUUCGCAAGAACACCAGUGGCGAAGGCGGCUCACUGGCCCGGUACUGACGCUGAGGUGCGAAAGCGUGGGGAGCAAACA
RNAcentral lists this ribosomal RNA (208 nucleotides) under uncultured bacterium. Its description in RNAcentral is "partial 16S ribosomal RNA". It matches the Rfam family "Bacterial small subunit ribosomal RNA", at positions 568 to 774 of the family's 1533-position model. The record is from RNAcentral.